GCAUUUGAAACUGUAGUUCUUGAGUGUCGGAGAGGUAUCGGAAUUCCGUGUGUAGCGGUGAAAUGCGUAGAUAUACGGAGGAACACCAGUGGCGAAGCGGAUUACUGGACGAUAACUGACGCUGAGGCGCGAAAGCGUGGGGAGCAAACAGGAUUAAUACCCUGGUAGUCCACGCUGUAAACGAUGGAUACUAGGUGUGGGGGGACUGACCCCCUCGUGCCGCAGUUAACACAAUAAGUAUCCCACCUGGGGAGUACGAUCGCAAGGUUGAAACUCAAGGAAUUGACGGGGGCCCGCACAAGCGGUGGAGUAUGUGGUUUAAUUCGAAGCAACGCGAGAACCUUACCAGGGCUUGACAUCCCGGUGACCGGCCUAGAGAUAGGCUUUCCCUUCGGGCACCGGUGACAGGUGGUGCAUGGUUGUCGUCAGCUCGUGUCGUGAGAUGUUGGGUUAAGUCCGCAACGAGCGCAACCCCUAUUGUUAGUUGCUACGCAAGAGCACUCUAGCGAGACUGCCUUGACAAAACGGAGGAAGGUGGGGACGACGUCAAAUCAUCAUGCCCCUUAUGUCCUGGGCACACACGUACUACAAUGGUGGUUAACAGAGGGAGGCAAAACCGCGAGGUGGAGCAAACCCUAAAAGCCAUCCCAGUUCGGAUUGCAGGCUGAAACUCGCCUGUAUGAAGUUGGAAUCGCUGUAAUCGCGGAUCAGCAUGCCGCGGUGAAUACGUUCCCGGGCCUUGCACUCACCGCCCGU
This 756-nucleotide ribosomal RNA is filed under the name uncultured bacterium. RNAcentral's name for it is "bacterial SSU rRNA". It matches the Rfam family "Bacterial small subunit ribosomal RNA", at positions 623 to 1397 of the family's 1533-position model. The record is from RNAcentral.